This 414-nucleotide ribosomal RNA is filed under the name uncultured bacterium. RNAcentral's name for it is "bacterial SSU rRNA". It matches the Rfam family "Bacterial small subunit ribosomal RNA", at positions 355 to 760 of the family's 1533-position model. The record is from RNAcentral.
UGGGGAAUUUUGCGCAAUGGGCGAAAGCCUGACGCAGCGACGCCGCGUGAGGGAUGAAGGUCCUAGGAUUGUAAACCUCUGUCAGGAAGCAUUAAAUGCACGGGUAUCAACGCCACCCGUGCUUGACUUAACUUCCAGAGGAAGCCCCGGCUAACUACGUGCCAGCAGCCGCGGUAAUACGUAGGGGGCAAGCGUUACUCGGAUUUAUUGGGCGUAAAGAGAAUUAAGGCGGUCAUGUAAGUCAGUGGUGAAAUCCCCCGGCUCAACUGGGGAAUUGCCUUUGAUACUGCGUGACUUGAGGACAGGAGAGGAAGGCGGGAUUCCCGGUGUAGCGGUAGAAUGCGUAGAUAUCGGGAGGAACACCUGAGGCGAAGGCGGCUUUCUGGACUGGUCCUGACGCUGAUAUUCGAAAGC